RNAcentral lists this unclassified non-coding RNA (700 nucleotides) under Hevea brasiliensis (rubber tree). The record is from RNAcentral. Lineage: Eukaryota; Viridiplantae; Streptophyta; Magnoliopsida; Malpighiales; Euphorbiaceae.
AUUGGAGGUUAGGGGCAAGGAGGGAGGUAACCUGGGUUUGGGUCUAUGAAGAAGGGGGGUGUUGGUUGGGUUUGGAAAGAGAAUGAGACAGAGAGAUGGAGAGGGAGAAUGAGAUAGAGAGAUGGGAGGACAAAGACUAGAGAGGGAGGGAUCAUGGAGAGAGGAUAGGAAGAGAAAGGGGAAGAGAAACAGAUUAUGUCGAUUUAUUGUAAUUAAAAAAUUUUAAAAAAAUUUAGCUAAAAUGGCACAUUAGCUUUUGUUAUCAGUAAACUAGUCAUUCAGUUAUAAGGGCUUUAGUGAUACUUAAAUUGAUAUUUAUGGGAGUUUAUGUUACAAAUUAAUGUUCAGCAAUGGUGCUGUUGUAGUGUCAAAUAUUCAAAGAGGAUGGAUGAAUUUUACCCUGCAUUUGUACAACGUGUCUUGCAACCUUUUUAAAUAGUUGCUUCUGAAGAAGAAUGUAUAUUGGCAUUUAAAAUACAUUCGAUAGAUGUUUACAAUAAUCUAAAAAUUACUUUGAAUUUGAUAAAAAAAAAAAAACCUGUGGACUAUGGAAGCGAUAGAAAAGAAUGUGAAUUAUACUUGAAGGAUUAGAUCUUUAGAAGUAAGGGAAGCACUUAAGAGAACGAAAGUGGGUAAAGCCUGUGAAUCCGAUGGAAUACUAAUUGAAAUGUGGAAUUGUUUGGGAGAUAUGGGAGUGACA